AGCUCCUAUGUGGGUGUUUGUCUGAUGAAGAGAUAAAGACUUUAACACAGGUGCAAAAUGAAACCCUCUUUUGUAACCCAGAACUCAUUGCUCUGUAAGAGUUCUGAUACCUAUAAGAAACAUGACC
Suncus etruscus (white-toothed pygmy shrew) is the source of this 127-nucleotide small nucleolar RNA. RefSeq annotates it as small nucleolar RNA SNORA40. The transcript has a single exon. Lineage: Eukaryota; Metazoa; Chordata; Mammalia; Eulipotyphla; Soricidae. The record is from RefSeq and is a predicted model, not a curated record.